UAGAUAAGGAGUGGGAGCUUUAGAGGCAA
This 29-nucleotide non-coding RNA is filed under the name Homo sapiens (human). Lineage: Eukaryota; Metazoa; Chordata; Mammalia; Primates; Hominidae. The record is from RNAcentral.